RNAcentral lists this ribosomal RNA (534 nucleotides) under Cynoglossus sp. BD-2002. RNAcentral describes it as "partial 16S ribosomal RNA". It matches the Rfam family "Bacterial large subunit ribosomal RNA", at positions 1851 to 2587 of the family's 2925-position model. The record is from RNAcentral. Lineage: Eukaryota; Metazoa; Chordata; Actinopteri; Pleuronectiformes; Cynoglossidae.
GGUCGAGCCUGCCCAAUGAUAAUUGAUUUAAUGGCCGCGGUAUUUUGACCGUGCUAAGGUAGCGUAAUCACUUGCCCUUUAAAUGAAGGCCAGUAUGAAAGGUUUGACGAGGGCUUAACUGUCUCCUCUCCACCAUCAAUGAAAUUGAUCUCUCCGUGCAAAAGCGGAGAUAUGUAUAUAAGACGAGAAGACCCUGUGGAGCUUAAGAUAAAGCUUUAGACCCCGCCAAAGAAUCUAAAUAUAGGACUAAGCCGAAAGUAGCUAAAGACUAUCUUCAGUUGGGGCGACUACGGGGAAUACAAAACCCCCGCGAAGACUGAGAAGACUACUCUUCUUAAAUCUUAGAACUACCCUUCAAAUCAAUAGAACUUCUAACUUUUUAUGAUCCGACCAGUUGAUCAACGAAUAAAGUUACCCCAGGGAUAACAGCGCAAUCCCCUUACAGAGUCCCUAUCGAAAAGGGGGUUUACGACCUCGAUGUUGGACCAGGGCAUCCUAAUGGAGCAGCCGCUAUUAAGGUUCGUNNGUCAACGA